RNAcentral lists this transfer RNA (85 nucleotides) under Felis catus (domestic cat). It matches the Rfam family "tRNA". Rfam says of the family: Transfer RNA (tRNA) molecules are approximately 80 nucleotides in length. Their secondary structure includes four short double-helical elements and three loops (D, anti-codon, and T loops). The record is from Rfam by way of RNAcentral. Lineage: Eukaryota; Metazoa; Chordata; Mammalia; Carnivora; Felidae.
GCCUGAGUGGCUCAGUUGGUUGAGCACUGGACUUCAGCUCAGGUCAUGAGCUUGUGGUUCGUGGGUUCAAGACCCGCAUCAGGUU